UAACUCGGGUUUCCCUUAAAAACGCAAAAAUUUUUCGCCUUUUACAAAAUUUUUCCCGUGGAGGGAACAAUUUAGUGUCUUAUUAAAUUUUUAAAUUUUAUACCCACUUGGGUGGGUU
Penaeus monodon (black tiger shrimp) is the source of this 118-nucleotide small nuclear RNA. RefSeq annotates it as U5 spliceosomal RNA. Lineage: Eukaryota; Metazoa; Arthropoda; Malacostraca; Decapoda; Penaeidae. The record is from RefSeq and is a predicted model, not a curated record. The transcript has a single exon.